CCCUUAGAUGUUCUGGGCCGCACGCGCGCUACACUGAUGAAUUCAACGAGUACUAACCUGUGCCGAAAGGUUCGGGUAAUCUUGUGAAAUUUCAUCGUGAUGGGGAUUGAUUAUUGCAAUUUUUAAUCAUAAACGAGGAAUGCCUAGUAAGCGUGAGUCAUCAGCUCACGUUGAUUACGCCCCUGCUCUUUGUACACACCGCCCGUCGCUCCUACCGAUUGAAUGUGCCAGUGAAAAGUUAGGAUUGGGCGUGGGAGACGGCAACGUAUUCCACAUCCGAGAAAAUCUUUAAACUUUCCCAUUUAGAGGAAGGAGAAGUCGUAACA
RNAcentral lists this ribosomal RNA (326 nucleotides) under uncultured eukaryote. Its description in RNAcentral is "partial 18S ribosomal RNA". It matches the Rfam family "Eukaryotic small subunit ribosomal RNA", at positions 1470 to 1796 of the family's 1831-position model. The record is from RNAcentral.